Long non-coding RNA from Homo sapiens (human), 2431 nucleotides. Ensembl annotates it as NDUFV1 divergent transcript. Its record names the gene NDUFV1-DT. NCBI's taxonomy places the organism in Eukaryota, Metazoa, Chordata, Mammalia, Primates, Hominidae. The record is from Ensembl.
CUCUUUCGCUCCCUCCUUAGCUCGCCGGCUCCCAGCCUUUGAUGCCACAAGUAAACAAACCUCGCAUGUCGCCUUCUGCUGGGUCCUGGAGGUCUUGGAAGCCUGAUGAACUCGUCUUUUUCAGUUUCCUGGAACCCUCUGCUGUGGUCCUCGUGAUAAGAGUGACCUUUUUGGCCUGCUCUCCCCAGCUCUUUUCCAGUCCUCAUGCAGGGUAUCAGCAUUGCUGAGUGGCCUGCCCAGGAUGACACAACUGCCAGAACUCGGCCUGAGGUCUCCUAACAACAAAUCCCCCACUGGUCCCCACCCACUGGAGCACCUACUUGCCAGGCUUCUCAAGCGAAGAAGGAGAUCCACUCUGAUGUCAUCUCCCAGGAGCCUUCUCUGCAGCAUCUCAGGUCCUGGCUCUCACCUCCUCAGCACCCAUCCCAUCCUGUGUCACUCUGUAUAUCAGCCUCCCCAGCCAGCCUCCAGGCCACAAGCCAAGAGGUAUCAAGGGCUCCUCCCUGUCCCACUGGCCCCACAUCCACUGUGUCUAUCUGGUCAACUUUACCUUCCAAACAUUCCCUGCACAGUGAUAGAUGGCUGUGGCCCUGUCAUCUCUCACCUGAAAUUAACAAUGUAUCCUUGGGGCCUCCCACCCUCACAUCUUGGCUCCUCCAGCCCCUUCUCUGCAAACAUGGAACAGUGGGAUUAUUAUAAAUCUCAGACCCGUUUUGCCCCUUUCCUGCCUGAGAGUUUUUGUGGUUCCCCACUGCCCUCAGAACAAAGCUCAAGACCCUUUGGCCUGGCAUUCAAGGUCCUUUGUGCUGCCACCUGUCAACCUCCCCAGUUCCAGCUCCUUUGGCUUUGCCCAUACAAGCUGGAUCUGCACCAGAGGAUCUGUCUUCCUCCCAACUUGGCCCUAGUCCUCCUAGGAGCCCUUUGGACGUCACCUCCCCCAGGAAGCUUUCUGCAACCACCCUACAACCGUCCCUAUAAACUUUAUAAAACCAAUUAGUGUGGGGAAAAGCAAGAGAGAUCAGAUUGUUACUGUGUCUGUGUAGAAAGAAGUAGACAUAGGAGACUCCAUUUUGUUAUGUACUAAGAAAAAUUCUUCUGCCUUGAGAUUCUGUGACCUUACCCCCAACCCCGUGCUCUCUGAAACAUGUGCUGUGUCAACUCAGAGUUGAAUGGAUUAAGGGCGGUGCAAGAUGUGCUUUGUUAAACAGAUGCUUGAAGGCAGCAUGCUCGUUAAGAGUCAUCACCACUCCCUAAUCUCAAGUACCCAGGGACACAAAAACUGCGGAAGGCCGCAGGGACCUCUGCCUAGGAAAGCCAGGUAUUGUCCAAGGUUUCUCCCCAUGUGAUAGUCUGAAAUAUGGCCUCGUGGGAAGGGAAAGACCUGACCGUCCCCCAGCCCGACACCCGUAAAGGGUCUGUGCUGAGGAGGAUUAGUAAAAGAGGAAGGAAUGCCUCUUGCAGUUGAGACAAGAGGAAGGCAUCUGUCUCCUGCCUGUCCCUGGGCAAUGGAAUGUCUCGGUAUAAAACCCGAUUGUAUGCUCCAUCUACUGAGAUAGGGAAAAACCGCCUUAGGGCUGGAGGUGGGACCUGCGGGCAGCAAUACUGCUUUGUAAAGCAUUGAGAUGUUUAUGUGUAUGCAUAUCUAAAAGCACAGCACUUAAUCCUUUACAUUGUCUAUGAUGCAAAGACCUUUGUUCACGUGUUUGUCUGCUGACCCUCUUCCCACAAUUGUCUUGUGACCCUGACACAUCCCCCUCUUCGAGAAACACCCACAGAUGAUCAAUAAAUACUAAGGGAACUCAGAGGCUGGCGGGAUCCUCCAUAUGCUGAACGCUGGUUCCCCGGGUCCCCUUAUUUCUUUCUCUAUACUUUGUCUCUGUGUCUUUUUCUUUUCCAAAUCUCUCGUCCCACCUUACGAGAAACACCCACAGGUGUGUAGGGGCAACCCACCCCUACAAAUUAGGGAAGAAGUAGGGGGAAAAGAUGAAAAUAAACCAAGCCUGCAGCAUACUCAGUAUUCAUCAUGAGGUCAGCUGCUCUCUGACCUGCUUCCUCAUGGCUGGUUGGUGCCUGUUGUCCCGGAGUGACAAAGACCCUAGAUUAUAGCUGCCCUUAACUGCUGUAUAAAUAACAACUUGAACAUGAAAUGCUAAAUUUUCCUUUUGAAGUAUUCCUUCAGAUCCUGCAUGCUGAUAAAACUACUGACUCAACUGGUCCCCAUGAGGAGCUGGCUCACCAAAGAAUGCGGUUUCCAAUCCCAAUUAUUUCAUGCCCCUUGCUUAGGCAAUCAACAAUCCCAAAUUUCCAGCCCCUUGCCCUCCACAAUCUCCUUAAAAAAUUCAGUCCAAAACUCCUUGGGGAGAUGGAUUUGAAGGUCUCCUCCCAUCUCCAAACUUGGUGCCCUGCAAUCAUUAAACUCUUUCUCUGCUGC